Aethalodelphis obliquidens (Pacific white-sided dolphin) is the source of this 2084-nucleotide RNA transcript. It is a transcript of the gene named potassium two pore domain channel subfamily K member 17, with no coding region annotated. NCBI's taxonomy places the organism in Eukaryota, Metazoa, Chordata, Mammalia, Artiodactyla, Delphinidae. The transcript has 2 exons. The record is from RefSeq and is a predicted model, not a curated record.
GGGAGGAGGGCAGGCAGGCGAGGGUUCUUCCGGGCAGGGCCUCACAGAUGGACGGAGGUCUCCUUCAACUCUGGGCAGGCGACGAGGGACCCGGCGCUGCUUGGAUUUGGCGGAAGCAUCAACGUCCUGGACCGUGGCUUGGUCAGUGGGUGCAGACAGUUGCGCCCCUAGACCACCAUCCCCACCCUGCAGUCCCCGUGCCUCCUCUGGCGAGGAGGGCAAGGCCUGUGUGCCAGAGUCACCAGCCCAAAGCUAGUCCCCAGAAGGUAGCAGGGAAGUGUGCCGGGUGGGAAGGGACCGGAGCAGUGGAUUGGAGGUAGAGUCCUGAGCCCUUGAGACUGGGCCACUGUGGCUGGGCCUGGAGCUGGACAGGGAAAGGACUAUCUCUGUUAAGAAUCUGAUGUGACACCUCCACCCCCUACAUCUCAACUUCUACAAAUACAGCCCGACUGCCUAGUCCUGGGGGCUGUGUGACACGCCGCUUGAAAAGGUGGUGAACUUCAAUUACCAGCAGCCUGGGCCCAAGGAACGUGACAAUGAUGGCAACGGGAAUGAUAGUAAAUGCUUCUGUGUAGCACUUACUGUGUGUCAGGCACUGUUCCUACUGUAUUAACUUGCUUCAUCCCCACCUACCUCACAGGUAGGUGCCAUUAUUAUCAUCCCCAUUUUAGAGAUGGAUAAGAUGAGGCUCAGAGAGGUUAAAUAAAAAUGCACAGGUUCAUAGCCAGUGCACUGGAGUUGUCAACCAUGAGCACCGGCUCAGUACAGAUCUGUGCAUGUGGGUGUUUCCCAAGGAUCCCUGGGGGGCUCUCAUCUCUUCCUCUCCACGCCCUCCUGCUCCACCCCCACUUCUCCUCCUUCCUCAACCCCCUGUGGAUUCAACCAUCCCCAAGAAUAGGGAUGUGGUAUCUCCAACCCAGAUCAACCCCCUGAGUGCAGACAUGUAAGCGCAACUUCCCGUGGCCCUCAAACUCCCACAGGGUCAAGAGCAAGCGGUUCUCCUCCUCCCAGCCCUGUUCCUCCACCUGUUCUAAAUCUCUGUCCUUGGCCUCACCUCCACACACCUUCACAGAGUUCUUAGAUGCUUCUCUCACUACCCACACCAAAUAAGGCCAGAGCCCUGGGCUUCUGAAUAUCUUCUCUCUGUGCCUCCCGGGCCACUCUGUGCCAGGAUGCAGCCCAGGCCCUCUCCAUCACUCACCCCCGCAGGACUCUCUCCCCUUCCCAUCUGCCAGCAUCUUCUAUGCUGCCAGUUGCCACAGAGCACACGUACCUGAGCUUGCCUCCCCUUUGCUCGGUGACCUUGGGAGAUGCCUGCCACUCCAUCCCUGGCAUGGCAGAGUCAAGCAUGGCCUGGCUGCCAACUACCUUGCAGUCUCCCUAUUCUACACCCCAGACCCAGUCCUCCCUCCCAGCCUUUGCUCCUGCGGCCCCAUUUACCUAAACGUCCUUCCACCAGGAACAGUCCUAUCCGACCCUCAAGGAAGGCCCAACUAAAACAUCACCCCCUCCAUGAAGCCUUCUGCCUCUACUGCCAUCAGAAUGCACACUUUCCCUAUCUGUAUUCCAACAGCAUUAUAUUUGCAGUAAUGACGAUGAUAGCAACUGCUAACCUUUCCCAUGUUCCACGUUCCAGACUGUUCUAAGUCUUUACACCUAAUACCUCAUUUAACCCUCAACGACUCGAUGAAGUGGGUGCGAUUAGUACUCCCAUUUUACAGAGAAGGGGACUGAGGAGCAGAGAAGUUGGAUAUCUUACCCGCGAUCACGCAGCUGCACUGCCUGUGUGCCUAGAGCUGCAUGGACUGCGCUGUAUCAAAGCUAGUUAAGUUUUUGGCUCUGUCCUGCUGAAGACUGAGGUCAUGUCUCCUUUAUCUUCAGCUCCCCUAAUACACCACAUGUACCAGGGCUUGUUGCAAGAACAGGAGUGAGCAGGGGAGAGAACAAAUGGAGUUCUUCCAGCCAGGCGUCAUCCAAGCCUACCAAAAUGGGGACAUCGUCCUCGACAACACCACCAGCAUGGGGCGCUGGGAGUUUGUGGGCUCCUUCUUCUUCUCCGUGUCCACCAUCACCACCAUCGGUAA